This 23-nucleotide non-coding RNA is filed under the name Arabidopsis thaliana (thale cress). Lineage: Eukaryota; Viridiplantae; Streptophyta; Magnoliopsida; Brassicales; Brassicaceae. The record is from RNAcentral.
UACAGUGGCUGCCACUAGCAUUU